GAUGAUUGUCUCACUAAGUAAUUAUGAAAUACUUAUGCAUCUCUUUCUUUGAUGCAGGUAAAAGCAAAGUGUGAUCCGUGGAAUCAUGGCGAGGAGAGGAGGAUGAUCUAGGUGCUCAUUGGUGUUUAGAUGUUUGUAGGAUUUGUUAGAGUGCUAGGAUGGAAUUUAGAAGCAUGUUAGGAUGAAUUCGUUUUCUGGAAUAAUGAUAGUUGAACUUGUUGGAUUAAAGGAAUUGUUUGAUUGGAUUUUUGUUUAAGUCUUCCGCUGGUUACGUUGAAUUGGUUGUGUUAGUGAGAUUGUCUGGUUUGCUUUAAAUGGGUUAAUCCGGAUUGUUCGCAUGUUAAAAAAAAAAAAAUGGGAUGGGUUCUUUCAACGGCAACGAUACGAUAGGCGUUUCGUGCAUAUUUUUUUGAGUUUCAGACAGCAAGAAUCAGAAUCAUUUCAAACAACAUUUCUGUUUUUUAUCUCAACAAAAGUAAUGCGAAAAGAAUUUUGGAGUUUCUUCUAUAAGAUGAUAGCCAAUUAUGAGUAUGUGAAGGGGGGACGUAACAUAUUUUAUCUGUUUGCCUGUAAGGCUUCCAAUCGAAAAGCAAGGUCAUGUCUACUUCUUUAUCAAAACUGUAUUCAAUUUCCUUUAUUUAUGUCAAUGGUUGUUUAUGAAUGGUUCAUGUAUCAUGUAAAACUCUUUAUAAUAUAAUAUACUUGAUUUGGCGAAAAAGUAAUAUUUCAGAAGCCUUAAUUAAAUUGUUGUAACCCUCACAAACUAUUAUGAAUUAUCAAAUUAAAUAGCUCUCUGUAUGUAUCCAUUUAAUAAGUUCAUAUUGUAUAAAAGUAACAUUAUAGACUCACAUAGAUAUAAUUCUUUGCAUUUCUAUUGGCUCUCAUAUAAUAGAUAUAUUGGAGUGUGAAUUGAUUUUGAGGACAUAUCAUAACUAUUUUCUCCUUAAUAAUAGCCCUUUAAAAAGAAAUCUUUUUGUUGUUUGCAGGUUAACAAAAUUUAUUUUACUCACCCUUGACGUCUCGUCAUUGCCACCCUGUCAUUUGACUCAUGGUCGUUGUUUCGAGAGAUGUUGAACUUGGCUAAUUGCAUAUACUUGAGGUUGACAACUUGAAUUUUUUUGUGACUUUAGGUUGGUAUUUUCAUAGUAUCAAAGUUUGGGUAUUAAACAACUGUUAGGAUGAAUGAAUGAAUGAAUUUUCAAAUAGUUUAAUUUAUUCAUGUGCAUUAUUAUCUUGAGAAAUUCUUACUAAUAACCUUUUUAUGAUACCCUCUUGCAAAACUACCCUUUUUGUUUGCCAUUUUCAUUUUUGCCCGCUCUUAAAUUUUAAUGGUCAUUUUACCCCUAGUUGAAAGAAUAUUCCUUUCUUUGGAUGAAAUAUUAUUUCCAAAAAAUAUUCCCGAUAAAAAAAUUUUCGAUAAACUUUUCCUGCAGAAAAAUUUUUUUUUACAAAAUUUUCCCGCCAAAUGUUUUUUUAAGGGUUUACAAGAAGUUUUAAAGGGUCUUUUAAAGGAUUUACAAGGGUUUUUAAAGGAAUUUAGAAAAGUUUUUAAAUGGUUUUUAAAAGAUUUGUAAUAGUUUUUAAAGGGCUUUAGAAGUUUAUAAAGGUUUUUGAAUGGUUUUUAAAGGACAAUGAUUUUUAAAAGUUUUUAUAAGUUUAUAACAGUUUUUAAAGGAUUUACAAGGAUUUUUAAAAGAUUUUCAAAUGGUUUUUAAAAAUUUACAAGGAAUUUUAAAAGGUUUUUAAAAGAAUUAACAAGUGUUUUUAAAAAGAAUUACAAGUGUUUCUAAAUGCAUUUACAAGGAUUUAAGGGUUUAAAAAUUGUUUUAAAAGGAUUUACAAGCAUUUUUAAUGGUAUUUACAAAGAUUUUAAAAUAGCUUAAAGGAUUUACAAGGGGUUUUAAAGGGUUUUAGAAGUUUACGAAUGUUUUUAAAGGGAUUACAAAGGGUUUUAUAGGCAUUACAAGGACUUUAAAAUGGUUUUUUUAAGGAUUUACAAGGGUUUUUAAAAGGUUUUAGAAGUUUACAAAAGAUUUUAUUAAAGGAUUUACCACAGUUAUAAGGGGUUUAAAGGGAUUUACAAGUGUUUAUAAAUGUUAUAAAAUGAUUUACAUAGGUUGUAAAAGGUUUACUUAAGUUUUGAAAGGUUUUGGAUGAUUUUAAAAAGAUUUACAAGGAUUUUAAAAAUAUUUACUAGGUUUUUAAGGAAUUGCGGAAAAUUAUGGCUGAAAACUUUUGGCGGGAAAAUUUUUGUCGGAAAUUUUUGGCGGGAAAGUUAAUGUCAUAAAUUUUUGACGGAAAAUUUUUCGAAAUGAAUAUUCUUUUGUUGGAAAGAAUAUUCUGUUCUUCAACGUGGGUUAUACUAAAGGAUAGUAAUUUUGUCAUUUUGUACAUUAAAGAUGGUAUUUUUGAAAAUGGACAUCUAGACAGGGUAUUUGUAGAAAAUGAUAUCAUAAAAAGGUUAUUUGUGCAAAUCCCCCAAUUAUCUUUUCAAGUUUUAAUAAUUUAUUGUAAACUCGUUUGACUACUAUGCGUCUUUUGUUGGUUGAUUUAGUCAACCUAAAAAAAACAGAGGUAUUAUUUGCCUAUUAAUGUCCCCAUAUACACAUGUAAAAAAAACUUGAACUCUUUUUUGGUUUCUUACAUUAAACCAAUUAAAAAGUUGAUUUGAUGAGUUGUAAAUGAUGAGUUGUAAAUCAAGUUGUAAUGUUAAUACAACUUAUAUUUAUUAUACUGACAAAAAAACAUAAUUUAUCCUACUAAGUAACUGACAUAUGUCAGUAAACAUUUUAAUUAGUAAUCACAAACGCCUAUUUAUGGAUGAACAAAGUAAAGCUUAAGGUUUCUUUUGUUUCAGAUACAUAUUAGGUUUUUGUGAUUAUUGAUUUUAAUGGUGUGCAUAUUUGUAAAUAAGUGUUUACACCACAUCAAAUCCUCUUUUAAUUGGUAUAAUAUUAAAAGUUAAGGCCAAAGUUUUCUACUAUGGUAAAACAUAUAAGGCAAAAUGAAUAUAUAUGUUUCAUUUAAAACAUUUCAUGAGAUCUUAUCCAAAACAUUACAUUUUUCUACAAUUGUAUUUUAAAACCCAGGAUUAUGGUUGGGCUGACAAAAAAUUCAGACGGGAUUUUGUUAUAACAAAAGUGGGGAAUGUUUGUUUAACCCACUGUAAAAUUGGGAUAGGAAAAGACUAAAAAAUGAUCUUAUGAACAAACAUAUAAAAAUAUGCUAUUAUAACUUAUUUUUGAAAAACGUACUAGUUUGACGAUUUUUUUCAAAAACUUUUACUAAAACAUGAAAACUAGUCUCUAUGCAUGGCCUCCGCGUAAUAUACCUCACAUGCUCACAACUCCUCGCUCUCAGGUCGCAACCUAGAGCCAUACCGCUCUCACACUUAGACCUUAGUCUUUAAGUCAUACCAUCUCACUUUUGGGUCGUCACCCUCAAGCACUCCUAGUAUCCGGGGAACUAAUCAUACCCUAUGAGAACUAAUCAUCUCAUCUGCCACUCUCAUCAAAGGAAUCUUCUUACGCCAAAGUUCCUUAACCCUCCUCUCGAGAACCCUCACUGGUAUCGUCUCCAGGGUCAUGUUGGGCAGAAGAUCUGUAGGAAUCUUCGCCAACACCUCAUCAUCCUUAUGCCACCAUUUAUUAAGCAUCAACUCAUCUUUCCCCUCUAUAUAUUUCAUCUUUCUUAGAUGAUAUAUUUUAUGCGGUGUGGGGAAGCAUUUACAACAUAUAUCACACACCCAUAUAAUUUCAAACUAGAAAUAUUUUAUCUCCAAUAAUGAAUACAUAACACGGGAGAAAGAUUUCUUACAAAUUGUUUUCCUCAUGUAUAAUCAUUACUACAUGGAAAAUUUCACGUUUAAUCACCUAUGAAUCGUUUUGCAAUCUCUUGUAUUGCACUAUGAACAAUUCAUUAAAGCUCAUUUUUAGGGUGGACAUCAUGGAUGUUUCACAUUAUCACUUCAACAUAUAUAAUCGAUAAAAUAUGGGAUAUGAUUUCACCAAAUUUAUUUCGCUCUGGGUGUCAAAUUCACCAAAGUUUAUCGACUUAGUGUCAAUGUGGGAUUCUUUAAUUCUCCUCCUCGAGAUGAUAACUCUUGGAGUACAUUCAUCUCAGACUGAGUCCCACUUUAGGAUCAACAACAUACCACUUUUGUUCAUGUGUAUUUACAUCUUAAAUCAAAUAUGUGAGACCAGUAUUACCCCCUCUCUAGGUGAUGACUUUUUCGAGUCCAUUCACCUUGGAACAAAUAUAAGUUGUAGAUCGGCUAUACGAGGCUUAAAUUAUUAUCUUAUUAUCUUCCCACAAAGCUAUACAAAGCGUAGCUAAGUGUAACACCCCAACCGUCACCCCUCUAGUGGGCCACAUGUUCACUCUCAUCCCAUGUGCCCACCUCUCUAAAUGGGUCUCACGUCCUCUCACUAGGCCCAUGAGCUCAUCCAUCCUUUGACUACUACAAAUCAUCUUGAGUUCUCUCAGGACCUUUGACAGAAAAAUAAUUGCAAUUUGGUGACAUAGGUGGCCAAAUAAAUUCAUUUAAAAUUAACCAACUAAACCAACAGAAGAAAUAAACCAAAAACCAAUCCAAUAAACAAAUAUCGUUAAAUUAGCAAAUAUCCAGCAAUUCUUAUCCCUAUAUUAGUAAAAGAGAAGUACAAAAUGGAAUACGGGUCAGAUCAAAAUAAUAAAAAAUUACCCGAUUUAAACAAGAGAAUUUGUUAGAAAUACCCCUUUUGGGAUACCAAUUUUUAAAAAUACCCCAUUUUCUUGGCAUUUUUAAUCUUACCCUUCUUAAUUCUAAUUUGCCUAUUUUACCCUUCAUUUGAUCUGUCUUAAUUUCUCAGAUCUCCGAUGACGACUAAAUUGCGAAAAAGAUAAGCCUGAGGGCGGCGGAGUUGCUGCCGACGUCGGAAUUGCUGCCGACGGCGGAGUUGCUGCCGACGGUGGAGUUGCUACCGACGGCGAAGUUGCUGCCGACGGCGGAGUUGCUACCGUUCAGUCUUCGUCGUCGAUGUGUGAUCCCAUCAUUGUCAAUCUCUCUCUCUCUCUCUCUCUCUAUCUCUCUCUCAUCACUCUCAUCUCUCUCUCUAUCUCGCUCUCUAUCUCGCUCUCUCUCUCUCUCUCUUGUUAUCGUAGAUUCUGUUCUUCUCUGUUCUAAAAUAUGGUUUCUUAGAUCUGAAGAGACAAAAUCGGGAUAUGAAAUUAGCAUUUUAUGUUGUUCAAAAUUGAUGUCUGCAUUUUUUUAUGUAACUAAUCAUAGUAUUGAUGUCUGCAUUUUUUUUUGUAUUUUGGAUGAUUAGCUGAUGGUUUUGAAUCGGGAAUUGUUCAUAUGAUUGUGAAAUAGAUGGUGAUGGUGAUGAUUAGAGUUAGCAUUUUGUAAGCUAAUUAAGGGGUUUUGAUGGUGCUUAGUGUUCCAAGGAGAUAGUGAAAUCAUUCCAGAUCGAUGUUAAUUAAUGGGUUUCGUUCAUUUGAUUUGGAUGAUAGGUUUCAGCCCAACAUCAGGAGAUGUAGUCAUGGAAAAAAUGACCAAGUUGGUUCUUAUUAUGGUGUUUGACCAUGUUGCUCGUGGUGAAAAUGAGUUCUAGAGUCAAAUCCCAAAUUAUGUUCAUGGCUGAAAGAAUCACAACAAUAUGGAUUUUAAUUGUAUGUACGUUACUUUCAAAGUUAGAGUAUGGGUUUGAGAGAUGCUUUUGGUUUAUGAGGAAAUGAUAAAUCAUAGUUGAAGGUUUAGAUCCAACAAGAAUGAACUCACUCAAAGAAAGCUUGACAUUCCUUUUAAUUUUUCUUGUUGAUGCCGUCAUUUUAUAUUUGGUAUUGAUGAUUUGUAGAGGACCCUUUGAUAUUUAUUCUAGUUACAUGGACAUGAACGGUAGGGACAUGAACGUUAUUCUUAUUUUAUUGAUUGUCUUGAGGAUUUACUUGAUAUUGAAUUUUCCCUGCAUCUUCUCUUCAAAGAGGUCUGCUUAUGAGAGCUUGAUUUUGAUUUGCUUGAAUUGGUAUAUUUUAGGAAUGGAGCAACGUUGGGGAUAAAGUAUUUCUGCAGUUGUACCAUAUGAUGAGAGUGGAUAGAAUUAUGCAGGGGAAUAAGAACACCCACAAGAUCACGUUGUAUAAAAAAAAUUAUGGCUUGUAUUUAAACCUUAUACAGUUCGUUACUUUACGAUGGUGUGUCUUGACUACGUAAUCUCAACAUGAUCUAGGACAAGGCAUGAUCUAGGACAAGGCAUGACUAACAGACUUAUGAAAAAAACUUUUGUUUUGGCGGUUGGUUAUGGAUUUGAUGAUUUGAUUAUUUGAUGAAGACUGUGUUGUCUUGGCUUAUAAAGAACUGAAGGGGAGCAUAUUAGGUCGACAAAGGUUACUUUUAGUUGAAGAUUGGGAAGAAAGUUCUUUAACCAUUAUGAAACCAUGAGAGUGAAGAGCUUUUUAUAUAAUAAUUGAUUGUAUUAGCUUUUUAUGAAUUGCUUCGUAAGACUUUGUAAAACCUUCUAAAUAUGUUGUAAAAACUUUUUAGAUACUUUAUAGAAACCUUUUAAAACCUUAUAAAAGCCUUAUAAAAUCUUUAUAAAAGCUUUGUAAAGCCUUAUAAAAACCUUAUAAAAUUUAUUUAAAUAGUUUUGAAAGCCUUAAUAUACAUUUAAACGCCUUAUAAAACCUAGUAAUCAUUUUAAAUACUUUGUAAAAUAUUUUUAAAAAACCUUUAAAAAAGCCUUAUAAAAACCUUAUAAAAGCCUUAUAAGAACCUUAUAAAAGCUUUAUAGAAUCUUACAAAAACAUUGUAAAACUUUUUAAAUAGUUUUUAAGACCUUAAUAUACAUUUAAACACUUUAUAAAACCUUUUAAAUACUUUUUAAAACAUUUUUUAAAAACCUUAUAAAAGCCUUAUAAAAGCUUUAUAAAAAACCUUAUACAAACAUUGUAAAACUAUUUAAAUACUUCGUAAAAAAUUUUUUAAAAACCUUAUAAAAGCCUUAUAAAAGCUUUAUAAAAACCUUAUAAAAACAUAGUUUUUAAGACCUUAAUAUACAAUUAAAAACCUUAUAAAACCUUUUAAAUACUUUGUAAAACAUUUUUUAAAAAAGCCUUGUAAUUUUUUUAAAUAGUUUUGAAAGCCUUAAUAUACAUUUAAACACCUUAUAAAAACUUUUAGACCCCUUGUAAAAUGCUUUAAAAGGUUUUUAUUGAUCUAACAAGGAUCCUCGAGUUGACUCGAUAUAUAAUCACCCCUCAACGUCCAAGAAUAUAGUUCUUAAACCAUUUAAAAACCUUAUAAAAUCUUUAUAAAAGCCUUGUAAAAAUUUAUAAAAGCUUUAUAAUAGUUUUAAAAACCUCAAUAUACAUUUAAACACCUUAUAAAACUGUUGAUAAAAAAAGAAUGGAUUUUAAAAAGAAAGAAAUUGUUGACAUGUUUAAAAAAAAUAUUUAAAAGGUUGUAUAGGGAUUUUAAAAGGUUUUACAAUUUUUUACAAUGUUUUUAAAAGUUUUAAGGAAUUUAUAAGAAAUUUAUACGGUUUUUAAAUAGGUUUUUGAGGUGUUUAAAUGUAUGUUAAGGUUUUAAAAACUAUUUGAAAAAUUUUACAAGGUUUUUAUAAGGUUUUAUAAGACUUUUAUAAAGAUUUUAUAAGGUUUUAUAAUGUUUUAAAGCUUUUAUAAGACUUUUAUAAAGAUUUUAUAAUGUUUUUAAGCUCUUAAAAGAUUUUAUAAGAUUUUUAUAAAGAUUUUAUAAGACAUUUAUAAGGUUGUUAAAAGGUUUUAUAACGUGUUUAAAUGUAUAUUAAAGUUUUCAAAACUAUUUAAAAACUUUUACAAGGCAAACAACGCGUUUAUAAAGCUCUUAUAAAGCUUUAAUAAGGUUUUACAAGGCUUUUAUAAAGCUUUUAACAUGAUUUUACAAGGUUUUUAAAAGGGUGUAUGAUGAUUUAAAAACUUUACAAGGGUUUAAAAAGAUUUUAUAAGAUUGUAUAAAGAUUUUAAAAGGUUUUAAAAAAAUUAACAAAGUUAAAGGGUGUGUGUGCAUUUAUGUCUAUAACAAAUAUUCGAAUAUUUUCAUUGACAGACAAUGCAACUUUAAAGAUAUAUUAUGAAUCCUUAAUAUUCUAUAACUGAUGUACUACUUGUAUAAUCAAAAAUACAAAUAAGAAUUGCAGAAAAGUUAAACAAUGUAACAUGUCGUGUUUCAUAUACAAUAUAAGCUCUCCUGCAAUAUAAAACCAGUCCGAGCCAUGUUUCUUAUUGUUUGAUCCUUUCACACUAAAUCCACAUAAGCAUGAGCUCCUAAUUGUGUUGCAUGUUGUAUGUCCCACCUUCAACAAGAGCAACUUGAGCCAGAUCAUUAAACAACAUUCCUCGCUUGGAUUCAACAUUAUACAAAAACUGAUGGAUUUGUGUUCUCUGCAACAUUCAUAAUUUUAAAAGAGAAUGUAUUAUUACCUCAAUGCAAGUCAAGAUCUCUUGGGGGUGAAAGAGAUUGUGAAUAUUGGGCAUCUCUCCUCCAUCCUCCUUUGUCUAUAGUCUCAGGUGCUCCAACAAAGACGCACCAAUCACUAUACAUUUACAUCAUCUCUUCUUCUAUGUACAAAGACAAUCCAAAAUGAGAUUUUCUACCUAAGUAGCAUAAAAGACAACACAUAUAAAACAAAUGCACGUAAGAAUGAAAAACACAAGUAGCUAAAAGCAAAUAAAUGUCAUUCUUUACGAUAUAUAAACAUUACAACUAAUCAAAUUAUGAGACCAAACCUUCAGAUCAAUAUCCAUUAGUCGAUUUAGGUAUCACCUUAGACUUGGUUCAAAAUCAUGGCAUUCCUGACACCCCAUAUGCUCAAUUGACCAAACAAGAUUUCCAUCUAUGAAAAUCAAUAGAACUAAAUUAAUGAUGACGAGAGGGGAUACAAAAUGUCAAAUAAGGUUGUGACAGAGAACUCCACUACCUCCGCUGCUAUUUUGAGAAGCGAAAGCUAGUUCGAGAUCGAAUCGCAAUGAAGUUGAGAUUCGUUUAGAUAGACGACGAGAUCAGAACGACAACAACAGCGACGAUGACGAUGACGAUGACGACAUGAUGAUGAAGACGACGACGGCACACCGACAAAGAUGAGACGACGACGACACACCGACAAAGACGAGACGAUGACGACACACCGACGAAGACGAGAUCGAGCAAGAGAGUUUGACGGCGAGAGGCAAGAGAAAUUCCAAAACAAAAGAAAUUAAGUUAGUUUUUGAAGGGUAGAAUUGUCUUUUUGACCAAAAAUGGGGGUAUUUUUAAAAAUGGUCUUCCUUGUGGGGUAUUUUUAAAAAAUUUCUCCCUAAAAGGGGUAUUUUUAAAAUUGUCCCUUUAAACAAUUGGAUACUUCAAAAUUGGAUAUUAAAUUGGGUUUGGAUACAUACAUCGGAUACUUCCCAUAUCUAAUUUUAGGAUUGUAUUAUUUCCAUAACUAAUUAUAAGAUUUCCUAAUAUUUUUUGGGAGAUUUUCACAAGUAACCUUUUUAUGAUAUCAUUUUCUAUAAGUACCCACUUUAGGUAUCAAUUUUCAAAAAUACCCUCUUCAAAGUACAAAAUGACUAAAUUACCCUCAUUUAUGAUAACCCAUGAUGAAGAAAAGAAUAUUCUUUCCAACAAAAAGAAUAUUCCCUCUGAAAAAUUUCCCGCCAAAAAUUUCCCCCCAAAAAAGUUUUCCCGCCAAAACAUUUCCGAUAAAAAAUUUCCCGCCAAAACUUUUUCCGCAAUUCCUUAAAAACCAUUUUAAACACCUUGUAAAUAUUUUUGAAUCUUUUAAAAUCCUUUAAAACCCCUUGUAAAUCUUUUAAAAGUCAUCCAAAACCUUUCAAAAUUUGACUAAACCUUUUAGGCAUUUCGUUUAAGGCAACACGACGUCGUUUGUACUUGUGAUUCUCAUUUUUCGACUUAACAGAGAUCGAUUAACGAUCCUAAACGGCUGUUAACUCCUCUGUUAGACUCUGUUAGAGGAUUUGAUUUGACGACAUGUUCAAUCUAGCUCAGGCAACAGAAGAUGGUGAUUUAAAAAUAAUGUCAACGAAAAGUCUAUGAUUUUAAUUGCCACAGUGGAAAUCGAGGAUUAAAAUGGCCAAAAUUUGUUGGUUGGUUGGUUCUUUUCUUUGGAUAAUGGUUGAAUGUGCUUGUGUGUAUAGCCAGUGGUGGGAUGAUUGCCCCACUAAGUAUUAAUGAAAUACUUAUGCAUCUAUUUCUUUGAUGCAGGUAAAAGCAAAGUGUAAUCCGUGGAAACAUGGCGAGGAGAGGAGGAUGAUCUCCGCGCUCAUAGGUGUUUUAGAUUAUUGUUAGAUUUGUUAGGGUGUUAGAACGGAAUUUAGAAGCAUGUUAUGGUGCUCAUGUUUCUGGAAUAAUGUUUGGUUGAACUUGUUGGUUUAAUGGAAUUAAUUUCAUGGAUUGUGUUUAAGUCUUCUGCUGGUUAUGUUAUAUGUGAUUUAAUUGAUCUAAAUUGAUCAGGCUGGUUUAGUUGGUUUACAAUUAGUUGGGUUAAUCCGGUCUGCAUGUUUUCAAAAAAAAAAAAAAACGGGAUGGGUUCUUUCACACUACUCCUUUUACCAACAAUUCUCGGUUUUAACGCCGUGACCGCCACCUCUAUAGUGGGUCCCAUGUUCACCAUCAGCCCAUGGGCCCAUCUCUCUUAAUGGGCAUCUCGUCCUCUCACUAGGCCCAUGAUCC
This 10687-nucleotide long non-coding RNA is filed under the name Capsella rubella. RNAcentral describes it as "long non-coding RNA (CRUB_LNC004265)". Lineage: Eukaryota; Viridiplantae; Streptophyta; Magnoliopsida; Brassicales; Brassicaceae. The record is from RNAcentral.